AUUGAACGCUGGCGGCAGGCUUAACACAUGCAAGUCGAGCGGGGUGAUGGUGCUUGCACUAUCACUUAGCGGCGGACGGGUGAGUAAUGCUUAGGAAUCUGCCUAUUAGUGGGGGACAACAUCUCGAAAGGGAUGCUAAUACCGCAUACGUCCUACGGGAGAAAGCAGGGGAUCACUUGUGACCUUGCGCUAAUAGAUGAGCCUAAGUCGGAUUAGCUAGUUGGUGGGGUAAAGGCCUACCAAGGCGACGAUCUGUCGCGGGUCUGAGAGGAUGAUCCGCCACACUGGGACUGAGACACGGCCCAGACUCCUACGGGAGGCAGCAGUGGGGAAUAUUGGACAAUGGGGGGAACCCUGAUCCAGCCAUGCCGCGUGUGUGAAGAAGGCCUUAUGGUUGUAAAGCACUUUAGCCUGGAAAGAAAAAACUUUGGUUAACACCCAAAGUCUUGACGGUACCAGGAGAAUAAGCACCGGCUAACUCUGUGCCAGCAGCCGCAGUAA
This 501-nucleotide ribosomal RNA is filed under the name uncultured bacterium. RNAcentral describes it as "partial 16S ribosomal RNA". It matches the Rfam family "Bacterial small subunit ribosomal RNA", at positions 30 to 523 of the family's 1533-position model. The record is from RNAcentral.